UUGAACUGAAGAGUUUGAUCCUGGCUCAGAUUG
RNAcentral lists this ribosomal RNA (33 nucleotides) under Crenobacter luteus. Its description in RNAcentral is "partial 16S ribosomal RNA". Lineage: Bacteria; Pseudomonadati; Pseudomonadota; Betaproteobacteria; Neisseriales; Neisseriaceae. The record is from RNAcentral.